Small nuclear RNA from Homo sapiens (human), 187 nucleotides. Lineage: Eukaryota; Metazoa; Chordata; Mammalia; Primates; Hominidae. The record is from Ensembl.
AUUGCUUCUCGGCCUUUUGGCUAAGAUCAAGUGUAAAUGUAUAAAAACAUUUACACAUUUAUUUAAAUGUAUAAAAAACAUAAAGAAUAUGUAAUUUGGCCAGGGGCAGUGGUUCAUUCCUGUAAUCCUAGCCCUUUGGGAGGCCAUGGUGGGCAGAUCGCUUGAACCCAGGAGUUCGAGACCAACC